AGUGAACGCUGGCGGUAGGCCUAACACAUGCAAGUCGAACGGCAGCACAUUAAUUUCUUGCUCUUACGGGUUGCGAGUGGCGUACGGGUGAUGAAUACAUCGUAAUCUACUUUUUCGUGUGUGAUAACGUAGGGAAACUUACUCUAAUACCGCAUACGACCUACGGGUGAAAGCAGUGGAUCUUCUGACCUUGCGCGUUUGUAUUAGCCGAUGUCGGAUUUGCUAGUUGGCUGGGUAAAGGCCCACCAAGGCGAGGAUCCGUAGCUGGUCUGAGAGGAUGAUGAGACACAGUGGAACUGAGACACGGAACAGAGGCAUACGGGAGGGAGCAGUGGGGAAUAUUGGACAAUGGGAGAAAGCGUGAUCCAGGGAGACCGAGUGGGUGAAGAAGGAGUUGGGGUUGUAAAGCCAUUUUGUUGGGAAAGAAAAGGAGCAGGUUAAAACGCAGCUGUUAUGACGGUACCGAAAGAAUAAGCACCGGCUAACUUCGUG
RNAcentral lists this ribosomal RNA (492 nucleotides) under uncultured bacterium. RNAcentral describes it as "partial 16S ribosomal RNA". It matches the Rfam family "Bacterial small subunit ribosomal RNA", at positions 29 to 507 of the family's 1533-position model. The record is from RNAcentral.